AUGACGGUAGUGCCGCAGCCUGGGAAAGUUGGGUGGCCCCACACCCUCCAAUUCACGCUGCCUUCUAGUCGUGCCAACUCGAACCACCCUUCGGCUGUGCUGCUAAGCAUGGACCCCAGUGUUGUGGGUGGCAAAUCCCCUUUCUUCCUCCAGAGUCCCCGCUUCCCUUAGAUCAUUUCAAUAUGGUGAUACCCUCAUUAGCCGGCAGGAAAGGGGCGAAGGUCCCAGUCCUCAUUCUGCUGUGCCCACUGGCUGGAGAACACGCUGUGUGUGGUUGGGCAGGCCCCGGGAGGAGUCUCCAAGCCGUGUGCUCAGCACACGUGCGGUGUACACAGAAAAAUGACACGGAAAUAGAUGCAGGCAGGCCGGUCCCUGCUGUGAUUAAUGAGUAACUCCAAGUACAAGGCCAACCACAAUGGAUGCUGCAAAAACUGUUGACUGGGGCAAAAGAUUUUUUAUUUUUAUUUUUUUAAUUUCUUUACCCUUUUGUUGUUAUUGUUUGUAGGGGGUGCGAGAGGGUGGUGUGUGUUUUUCUCCCCCUGGUUUUCAUUUGCUCAAGCACACAGAAGAAGGGACUUUUGUUUACUCUAUCAAGAACAAAAGAAUUGUCAACAUACUAUAAACCGUGAGAAUUGCUGUUGUUGGUUGUUUUUUCUUUAAACAGUUAAACAGUAUAUUUGGUGGUCUCUUUGUCUCUUUUUAUUUCCAGUUUGAUCUUCUGGGUUUAGUUUUGUCUUUAAAAAAAAAAAUUAAAAAAAGACUGACAAGGACAGUUUUGAGUUGGAAGUGAAACAGUGGUAUCUCCAUAAUCAGAGUGGUUCCUUGGAGACCUAGGUGUAUAGUUGAGGGUGCGUGCCCUGCCCUUUCUCCCAAAAGCCCAUUGCAGUUUUGCUAUUGUUUAGGGUAGGUUUUUGUUCUUGUUACAUUUUUGUUUUGUUUUUUUGUUUUAGUGGAAUCAAUGUUCACUCCCUAUGAACUCUGUCCCGUGAAACCCUGAGCUCUUUUCUAGAAACGGAGAUAUUGUUUUCCUUCUUGAAUUUUCUUGAGAAAUGCAGAAGUCGGGAAGAUGGUGGGUACAUGUCACCCUGUUCGCCUCUCCCCAGUGCUGACCCCCAAGAGUAUUGCCGGUGCAGCACCCGCCGUCCGCAGGACCACGUGUUUUGUCCCGCGUUGGUGGGCACCGUCACCUCUGCUGUGUUGAGAAGACCUGCGUCAAAACUUACGUCCCACAUCUGUACGUCCCACGACCCAUCACCUGCGGUGUCAACCCCAAAAUGCUCACUGUAUUGAGCUGGUCUUCUGCAUUGAAGUAUCCCCCCUUUUAUUGUCCCCACUGUGUGUGGGGGGAGGGUCCAUAAACCUGAGUGUGCCUUUGCUUUCCACCCUUGCUAGACACUGGUAGAUGCAACAAACUCAGAUUUAUAUUUGUUGUAAAGUUGUAAAAAUAUUGUGAUGUCACCAAUUCUCUUCCAUUUCCACAUCCCCUAACAUCUGAUUCACGACUUAAUGUAUGUUUUAAAAAAGGAAAAAAAAGAAAGAAAAGAAAAGAAAAGAAAAACAGCAAGGAAAAGGCUCUUUAUUACUUAAAAGUAAUAAAACCAGACUGUUACAUUA
This is an RNA transcript of Lemur catta (Ring-tailed lemur), 1614 nucleotides long. RefSeq lists it as uncharacterized. The transcript has a single exon. The record is from RefSeq and is a predicted model, not a curated record. Lineage: Eukaryota; Metazoa; Chordata; Mammalia; Primates; Lemuridae.